This is a long non-coding RNA of Octopus sinensis (East Asian common octopus), 1374 nucleotides long. RefSeq lists it as uncharacterized. The record is from RefSeq and is a predicted model, not a curated record. The transcript has 3 exons. NCBI's taxonomy places the organism in Eukaryota, Metazoa, Mollusca, Cephalopoda, Octopoda, Octopodidae.
CAAGGAGUUAAAAUCUCUAAUUCGGAUUCGGCAAUUUACUUCCUUUUUCUCUCACCAUGACAUUCGUCUUGUGCCAAAAUUCGAAAUCAAUAUUAACAUCGUUGAAUAUUAUUUUAGUUAGCACCAAAGAUUUUUGGGAGCAUUUUUAACGCCUUACUACAGCCAUAUUUUUUUCGGGUGCAUUAUACAGAUCUACUUCUACGUUUUUGAAUUAUUUUGAUGGACGAUGUGCCUGAAAGAUGAUUAAUUUUUAAAAUGCAAAAAGAAUUAAACAUUAUUAUCAAUGAUAAAUGCGGUAUUGAAUGUGAAAGUGAUAGUGUUGGUGAUAAUAAUGAUAAUGACGAAGAGUGAAUUAUAGAGAGAGUUACUUCCCCUAACACUAAGUGUUAAACGCUCCCAAAUAUUUCUGAUCACUCCCUGCUUAUUAUUCGUUACACAUCUGAUAGCCAGAUCCAGUCUACAAAUGACAUUUAUGAGAUCGAAUUAAAUAUAAAUAGUUGAUAAUUGUGCAAUUACUAUAGCAUUCUUUACUAUGUUAACCUGUAAGAUCUUGACGUUUUCAUGAAGCUGUUAUCCAAUCUGUUGUCGAACGUGUAUUGUGAGAGCUUCCUUAAAGGGUCUAUAUUAAUGUCUAUGCUAUUAGAAGAGGCAUGGAUGGGGCACACACAGCAUCCUUUUCUCAAGAAAUGGAGAGUGUUGAGUGAACAAGGAUAACAACCACUUUUCAUAGAAGAGCUGGUAUCAUACUGGAACAAUCCAAGGACAGGCAGAUAUACAAAUACUGGGUGAUACUGGAUUGACAGAAUUUUACUUCAGAUGUAUCAUCAAACUAAAUGAAGUUGUAAAGAGCUGUUAUAACAUUUAAAUGUAAAUCUUAGGCUGAAUUACUAGGAGAUAUUUUCCCCGGGUGAGAUUAUUAGCAAAAUGUCUCAUUAUUUGGAAUGUGUAUAAAAUUAUUUUGCCUACAAAUUAAACAUGGAUUGCAAAGAAGUUUGCUGCAUCAAUUGACUUUAACAGGAUCAUAGUUGAUGAACGUGCAGCAGUAAAUAUGUUAUCUUGAAAUAAAAUACAAAUCAAAAAGAAGAAAAAUAUCCUUAUAGUGUUGUGAAGGAAGAAAAAUUAUGGAAAAUGAUUUAUAUGAGAACCAGGUUAAAUAUAAUGCAAAGUUUAAAAGGGUUGGUUUCCCUGAUGUGACACAGAAAGACAUAGGGAAAACAUCAUAUGACUGUAAUAUCUGUAAAAAGUCAUUCUCAUAUAAAGAUAACCUACUUACUCACAAAUACAUUCAUACAAGAAAAAAGCCAUAUCACUGUGAUAUCUGUGGCAAAUCAUUCUCUGGAAAAAGUACUAUAAAUGCUCACAAACGUAUUCAUA